RNAcentral lists this ribosomal RNA (510 nucleotides) under uncultured bacterium. Its description in RNAcentral is "partial 16S ribosomal RNA". It matches the Rfam family "Bacterial small subunit ribosomal RNA", at positions 28 to 507 of the family's 1533-position model. The record is from RNAcentral.
GACGAACGCUGGCGGCGUGCUUAACACAUGCAAGUCGAACGAAGAGCGACGGAAGCUUGCUUCUAUCAAUCUUAGUGGCGAACGGGUGAGUAACGCGUAAUCAACCUGCCCUUCAGAGGGGGACAACAGUUGGAAACGACUGCUAAUACCGCAUACGAUCUAAUCUCGGCAUCGAGGAUGGAUGAAAGGUGGCCUCUACAUGUAAGCUAUCACUGAAGGAGGGGAUUGCGUCUGAUUAGCUAGUUGGAGGGGUAACGGCCCACCAAGGCGAUGAUCAGUAGCCGGACUGAGAGGAUGAACGGCCACAUUGGGACUGAGACACGGCCCAGACUCCUACGGGAGGCAGCAGUGGGGAAUCUUCCGCAAUGGACGAAAGUCUGACGGAGCAACGCCGCGUGAGUGAUGACGGCCUUCGGGUUGUAAAGCUCUGUUAAUCGGGACGAAAGGCCUUCUUGCGAAUAGGGAGAAGGAUUGACGGUACCGGAAUAGAAAGCCACGGCUAACUACGUG